UACGAAGGGGGCUAGCGUUGCUCGGAAUUACUGGGCGUAAAGCGCACGUAGGCGGCUUUCUAAGUCGGGGGUGAAAUCCUGGAGCUCAACUCCAGAACUGCCUUCGAUACUGGAAAGCUCGAGUCCGGGAGAGGUGAGUGGAAUUCCGAGUGUAGAGGUGAAAUUCGUAGAUAUUCGGAGGAACACCAGUGGCGAAGGCGGCUCACUGGCUCGGUACUGACGCUGAGGUGCGAAAGCGUGGGGAGCAAACAGG
This 253-nucleotide ribosomal RNA is filed under the name uncultured bacterium. RNAcentral describes it as "partial 16S ribosomal RNA". It matches the Rfam family "Bacterial small subunit ribosomal RNA", at positions 524 to 776 of the family's 1533-position model. The record is from RNAcentral.